AUUGAACGCUGGCGGCAUGCCUUACACAUGCAAGUCGAACGGUAACGCGGGGCAACCUGGCGACGAGUGGCGAACGGGUGAGUAAUGCAUCGGAACGUACCCAGUAGUGGGGGAUAGCCCGGCGAAAGCCGGAUUAAUACCGCAUACGACCUACGGGUGAAAGGGGGGGAUCGCAAGACCUCUCGCUAUUGGAGCGGCCGAUGUCAGAUUAGGUAGUUGGUGAGGUAACGGCUCACCAAGCCGACGACCGGUAGCUGAUCUGAGAGGAUGACCAGCCACACUGGCACUGAGACACGGGCCAGACUCCUACGGGAGGCAGCAGCGAGGAAUAUUGCGCAAUGGGCGAAAGCCUGACGCAGUAACGCCGCGUGGGGGAAGAAGACCUUCGGGUUGUAAACCUCUUUUUGUAGAGACGAGGGAGGACGGUAUCUAUAGAAUAAGUCUCGGCUAACUACGUGCCAGCAGCCGCGGUAAGACGUAGGAGGCGAGCGUUAUCCGGAAUCACUGGGCGUAAAGCGUGCGCAGGCGGUUUCGUAAGACAGAUGUGAAAUCCCCGGGCUUAACCUGGGAACUGCGUUUGUGACUGCGAGACUUGAGUGCGGCAGAGGGGGGUGGAAUUCCACGUGUAGCAGUGAAAUGCGUAGAGAUGUGGAGGAACACCGAUGGCGAAGGCAGCCCCCUGGGUCGACACUGACGCUCAUGCACGAAAGCGUGGGGGAGCCAACAGGAUUAGAUACCCUGGUAGUCCACGCCCUAACGAUGCGAACUAGGUGUUGGGGAAGGAGACUUCUUUAGUACCGUAGCUAACGCAUUAAGUGCCCCGCCUGGGGAGUACGGCCGCAAGGCUAAAACUCAAAAGAAUUGACGGGGGCUCGCACAAGCGGUGGAGCAUGUGGCUUAAUUCGAUGCAACGCGAAGAACCUUACCGGGGCUUGACAUGGUAGAAGUAGAAUCCUGAAAGGGUGACGAUCGGUAUCCAGUCCGAAGCUAUCACAGGUGUUGCAUGGCUGUCGUCAGCUCGUGUCGUGAGACGUUGGGUUAAGUCCCCUAACGAGCGAAACCCUUGUCUUUAGUUGCUAACGGGUAAUGCUGAGCACUUUAGAGAGACUGCCGUCGUUAAGACGGAGGAAGGUGGGGACGACGUCAAGUCAUCAUGGCCCUUAUGUCCCGGGCUGCACACGUGCUACAAUGGUCGGUACAAAGGGAUGCUAAGUCGCGAGAUGGUGCGAAACCUAUAAAGCCGAUCUCAGUUCAGAUUGGAGGCUGAAACUCGCCUCCAUGAAGUAGGAAUCGCUAGUAAUCGCGGAUCAGCUACGCCGCGGUGAAUAUGUUCCCGAGCCUUGUACACACCGCCCGUCAAGCCACCCAAGCAAGAUGCACCCAAAAUCACCGGCCUAACCUGUAAAGGAAGGAAGUGCUUAAGGUGUGUUUUGUGAGGAGGACUA
Molecule: ribosomal RNA, 1445 nt
Filed under: uncultured anaerobic ammonium-oxidizing bacterium
Lineage: Bacteria
Description: partial 16S ribosomal RNA
Rfam family: Bacterial small subunit ribosomal RNA
Source: RNAcentral